Molecule: ribosomal RNA, 128 nt
Organism: Cavia aperea (Brazilian guinea pig)
Lineage: Eukaryota; Metazoa; Chordata; Mammalia; Rodentia; Caviidae
Source: Ensembl
GUCUACGGCCAUACCACCCUGAACACACCCGAUCUCAUCUGAUCUCAGAAGCUAAGCAGGGUCGGGCCUGGUUAGUACUUGGAUGGGAGAAUACGAUCUUUCUUUUUGAAAGUAAUUAAAUAUAUAUC